UACGAAGGGGGCUAGCGUUGCUCGGAAUCACUGGGCGUAAAGCGCGUGUAGGCGGCUCUUCAAGUCAGGCGUGAAAGCCCCGGGCUCAACUCGGGAACUGCGCUUGAUACUGUCGAGCUAGAGUGUGGAAGGGGCGAUUGGAAUUCCGUGUGUAGCGGUGAAAUGCGUAGAUAUACGGAGGAACACCAGAGGCGAAGGCGGAUCGCUGGGCCAACACUGACGCUGAGACGCGAAAGCGUGGGGAGCGAACAGG
RNAcentral lists this ribosomal RNA (253 nucleotides) under uncultured bacterium. RNAcentral's name for it is "partial 16S ribosomal RNA". It matches the Rfam family "Bacterial small subunit ribosomal RNA", at positions 524 to 776 of the family's 1533-position model. The record is from RNAcentral.